CUAACACAUGCAGUCGAGCGGAUGACGGGAGCUUGCUCCUUGAUUCAGCGGCGGACGGGUGAGUAAUGCCUAGGAAUCUGCCUGGUAGUGGGGGACAACGUUUCGAAAGGAACGCUAAUACCGCAUACGUCCUACGGGAGAAAGCAGGGGACCUUCGGGCCUUGCGCUAUCAGAUGAGCCUAGGUCGGAUUAGCUAGUUGGUGGGGUAAUGGCUCACCAAGGCGACGAUCCGUAACUGGUCUGAGAGGAUGAUCAGUCACACUGGAACUGAGACACGGUCCAGACUCCUACGGGAGGCAGCAGUGGGGAAUAUUGGACAAUGGGCGAAAGCCUGAUCCAGCCAUGCCGCGUGUGUGAAGAAGGUCUUCGGAUUGUAAAGCACUUUAAGUUGGGAGGAAGGGCAGUAAGUUAAUACCUUGCUGUUUUGACGUUACCGACAGAAU
This 443-nucleotide ribosomal RNA is filed under the name uncultured Pseudomonas sp. Its description in RNAcentral is "bacterial SSU rRNA". It matches the Rfam family "Bacterial small subunit ribosomal RNA", at positions 48 to 487 of the family's 1533-position model. The record is from RNAcentral. Lineage: Bacteria; Pseudomonadati; Pseudomonadota; Gammaproteobacteria; Pseudomonadales; Pseudomonadaceae.